Molecule: long non-coding RNA, 998 nt
Organism: Diachasmimorpha longicaudata
Lineage: Eukaryota; Metazoa; Arthropoda; Insecta; Hymenoptera; Braconidae
Exons: 6
Source: RefSeq, a predicted model, not a curated record
AGAGGCCUCGGUGGCAAUCCUAUCGAAGAUGUCGUUAACGAAACUGUUCACGAUGCUCAUCGCCUUCGAGGACACACCGAUAUUCGGCUGGACUUGCCUCAGUACUUUGUAGAUAUAAAUCUACUGCUCGCUCUCGUUGACAUUCUCGUGGCAAGAUUCUUGAGGAUCCAAAUGAUGGAGGAUUUGAUUGGGUACUUUGGCAAUUAAUUAGCAAGAAAGCAUCAAGGUAAAUGAGACUACAGAAGAUAAUUCUCUGCAAAAAAGUCCUUCGAUAUGUUUUCACUUUAAAAACAUACAUUGAGUAAUCGACGGUUGAUAAUAAAGUUCCUACAGAUAUAUUCCAGCACGAGAAUUUGGUUAUGUUAUUACUCUAAUGUGAACAGCAUUCUCAUAAAUAUUCAAUUCCAAUAGCAAUAUAAAAGGUAUAAAUUCAUCCAGUGAAUUAACGGAGAACUCUGGGAAAAAAGGAUCAAGAUGACCAAAUUAAUGGAGUGGUUGUUCUGUCUCGUUCUCUUCAUGGGCCCCUGGACAGCUACCAUCACAGGACAAGUCAACUCUCCAUGGGACGUUCACGUUUAAUAAUUGUGAAAAAGCUGCUAUGCAGCUUAAAAGGCAAAUUGAAGAGGCCCAGGCGGAGUUGAGAAUAAAGGGAGUGCUCCCGAGAGACCCUAAAGGCCCAGAAUUAAUGUGAAUUUGUUGAAACACAGCUGAGGCAAAUCGCAAAAUUAACAAAUUGAUUUUUUACAGCAUUAAUUAAUGAGUUAAUUUAACGAUUUAUUUCAUUAUUAUUAAUUAACAUUCUUCAGUUGGGUGCUGAUUCAACAGACUACGAUAUUUUUGCCUUUUCUGGUCAUAAAAACAAAAUUGAACAUCAUGUCUUCAUUAAAUAUUUAAUCUUCGUAUAUAUGAAAAAUAAUUAGACUCAAUAAUUUCCAACACAUAGAAAAAUGUUUUAUCAAAGCAUGAAAUUGUACGAAUAAAUUAUUAAAUUCAAUUCA